This 706-nucleotide long non-coding RNA is filed under the name Ananas comosus (pineapple). RNAcentral describes it as "long non-coding RNA (ACOM_LNC020316)". Lineage: Eukaryota; Viridiplantae; Streptophyta; Magnoliopsida; Poales; Bromeliaceae. The record is from RNAcentral.
GUUGCAAAAAAUUAGUUCUCUUUCGAAAUCUUUAGUCAAAUAUUUGUAUAAACAAUUUUGUUUGAAAACAACUUAUCCACUGUUUUUAGAAACGUUGAUUAAGAACGAAAUAAAUAAAAACUAUAGAGAAUAAAGGAUUAGAUGGAGCCUGUGAGUCGAGGCGUGCGAUUGCACUGUCCUAGAAGCAAGAUUGCCCCUCCACGUACGAGGCGCCGGCAAUCACUCCUAGCGAUACAACGACCUUCGUCCACCCCGUCGGCACGGCUUCAGGGUGGUGCAAGAACGAACCGUCACAGCUUUUCAGAGAUCCAGCAAAACAGUGAAGAAGAAAUCCAGCAAAACAGUGAAGAAGAAGGAGAAGAGAGAAAAGGGGAGAAACGUGUAACAAAAAGAAAGUAGAAUAAAAUGAACCGGGUUCACGCGCGCACGGCACGAGCCGGGCGUGUAUUUAGACGAGAGCUCCACUCUCAUCACUUCCUAAGUAAUAACAAUGAGAAUAAAGUAGAAUAUAAACCAGAGCAAGUGAGGGUCUCUUUCCAAUGUGGGACUAAACACCACAUGAAAAAAGAUCAAAGCUUGGGCUUCCAGGCAAGGCCCAUUAACAGUGGGCUGCCCACAAAGUCCAAAGGCCAAAUUGAAGUUUUAAAACAUAUGAGCAUAUAAAGAAGUUUUAAAUCACUUGUUUUAAAUCAAAAUACUAACAAUC